RNAcentral lists this ribosomal RNA (465 nucleotides) under uncultured bacterium. RNAcentral's name for it is "partial 16S ribosomal RNA". It matches the Rfam family "Bacterial small subunit ribosomal RNA", at positions 28 to 507 of the family's 1533-position model. The record is from RNAcentral.
GACGAACGCUGGCGGCGUGCUUAACACAUGCAAGUCGAGCGGAAAGGCCCUGCUUGCAGGGUACUCGAGUGGCGAACGGGUGAGUAACACGUGGGUGAUCUGCCCUGCACUUCGGGAUAAGCCUGGGAAACUGGGUCUAAUACCGGAUAGGAGCCAUUUUUAGUGUGAUGGUUGGAAAGUUUUUUCGGUGUAGGAUGAGCUCGCGGCCUAUCAGCUUGUUGGUGGGGUAAUGGCCUACCAAGGCGGCGACGGGUAGCCGGCCUGAGAGGGUGGACGGCCACCUUGGGACUGAGAUACGGCCCAGACUCCUACGGGAGGCAGCAGUGGGGAAUAUUGCACAAUGGGCGCAAGCCUGAUGCAGCGACGCCGCGUGGGGGAUGACGGCCUUCGGGUUGUAAACUCCUUUCGCUAGGGACGAAGCUUUUUGUGACGGUACCUAGAUAAGAAGCACCGGCUAACUACGUG